Magnolia sinica is the source of this 1098-nucleotide long non-coding RNA. RefSeq lists it as uncharacterized. The transcript is spliced from 5 exons. Lineage: Eukaryota; Viridiplantae; Streptophyta; Magnoliopsida; Magnoliales; Magnoliaceae. The record is from RefSeq and is a predicted model, not a curated record.
GUUUUUUUUUUUUUCACUUGUCCCGUGGCUCUCUUGAAUUCAAUUUUAGAGUUUUAAUGUUUUUAGUAGUUUGCAAAUCAACUAAUUCAAUAACAUUGUGUAUUUGUCCCAUCUAUGUUCCAUAUCAUGCUACGUGCUUGGAACUUUCGAUGAUUUGGAAUGAAUUUUUAGACAAUCUGAUAAUGUUUGCUUUCAACUUUUGUGUAGGGAAACCUAUUGAAAUUUACUACGGGAUUGGUGCGAUUUCCAGUUACCUUAUAAAAAGGGCCGAAACCACCCUUCCCAAUCUUAUUUGUUGGACAGAAGUUAUCUAUAGCAGCUACUACAGUUGCAAAAACUAUAUAAUGGCAAGUUCAGAACUUUCUUGUCUUCUCUGAGCCUAUUUGCACUAAUGAAUCCCCUAUCAUCUAACCAUUAUUUCCAAAUACUUAUGUAGUGAAGUAUUGGUUCUCAAUUGAUUGAAAUGCUUAUUGGAAUUUCAUAUUUGCAAUAAUGUUGUUCUUGCUCCUUUUUAUGAUUCAGUGCAGGUAAUUUGGUUCUACGUGCAAUCUGUUUCUGGAAAUGGCACAACUGCUCAGAUGCCGACUCGGUUGAGUGCAACCCAUCUACCCUUAAAAGUGGGAGCACCCAAAUGUGGAAUUUAGGUUGCAGCUGCUUGUUUAGAAGAAUUGUUGAUUUAAGCAGCUGCUUGUUUAGAUGUACAUGGGGAUGACAGUGUGAUGUAUCCGUAAUGGAAGUUUGUUAUAAGGGUGAGCAUGCAUAUGUUCCUAUAACUCAAGAAAGGUUACUGGCAGGCAUUAUCUACGAGGAUUCAACCUGGAUUGGAACAAAAGAUUGUUAUUCUGCGAGAUUCGUAUCUUUAGGGUUAUUUUGAUAAUGUUUCAGAGCAUCUCUGAGUAGGACCACCAGUAUAUUUUGUUGUGAAGAACUUCAACUAUAGGUGAUCAAUUGGCAAUUGCUAAGGAAACUGAGCAUCGGUUGGGAAUGGGUACAAACUUGUACCCAUCUUCAUCUCUUCUGGGGGACAGCAAGGAUGAAUUAGUUUCGGCUCUACCUGUGGAUGAACUAAUUGAGAAAGCUGAUGGUUUUACUAGGGUG